RNAcentral lists this ribosomal RNA (297 nucleotides) under uncultured Rhodanobacter sp. RNAcentral's name for it is "partial 16S ribosomal RNA". It matches the Rfam family "Bacterial small subunit ribosomal RNA", at positions 379 to 668 of the family's 1533-position model. The record is from RNAcentral. Lineage: Bacteria; Pseudomonadati; Pseudomonadota; Gammaproteobacteria; Lysobacterales; Rhodanobacteraceae.
AAGCAUGAUCCAGCAAUGCCGCGUGUGUGAAGAAGGCUUCGGGUUGUAAAGCACUUUUAUCAGGAGCGAAAUGCCAUGGGCUAAUACCCCGGUGGAGCUGACGGUACCUGAGGAAUAAGCACCGGCUAACUUCGUGCCAGCAGCCGCGGUAAUACGAAGGGKGCAAGCGUUAAUCGGAAUUAUUGGGCGUAAAGGGUGCGUAGGCGGUUCGUUAAGUCUGUUGUGAAAUCCCCGGGCUCAACMUGGGAAUGGCAAUGGAUACUGGCGGGCUAGAGUGUGUCAGAGGAUGGUGGAAUU